AGGUGUUCAAUGUGAAAUUUAACACCUAAACCCGAACAUCCUGUUUGUGUGACGUCUACUCACCAUUUAGAGAUGUGGUUUCACCACAGUCCACACUAAUGCAUACAACCAAAUGAAAGCCACCUAAUCUGAUACAACAAGCCAAAUUAAACAAUAUUAGAGGUUCAUGAGUGAUCCAAACGGACUCAUCUGGACUGGAAACUUGUGUGGUAAAAGUGAAGUGAACACGCCUGUGCAUUACUGCGGUCAAAUCUGCUCAAGACUUGUUCUGUGCAAAAGGGAAGGAAGCGCUCACAGCCCAGAUUAGGUCAGAAGAAGAAGUCCAGCCUGUAGAUGUUGUAAUGACACUGCACUUCUGUUCCUCAAAGGAGAUUAGCAGAGCGUCGGUUUUUGAACGUGAGGAUGGAACAGACUUUGCUCUGCGUGCUGGGAUUAUUCUCACUGAAUCUUCUCUUCUACUGUGGACAAGCUAAAGAUUCACCUAAACUCUCUGUGUCGUCCAUGUGGCCAAAUCACGGAGCAUCAGUUAUUCUGCACUGUGCUGCUGAACAUCUGUCUGCAGACUGGAGGUUCUACUGGUACAAGCUUAUUCCUGACAUAGAUAAAGCACACUUCUACGAAUAUGAGCUGCUCCCUGGAAGCACAAACGGGACCACACAGGAUUACUACGUCGUCUAUAACCACACAUAUACAGCAGGGUAUGCAUGCAGAGCAGGAAGAGCAGGAAGAGCAGGAAGAGGAAACCCAGUGCAGUACACGUCUUGGAGUUUUCGAAAGUUUGUCUGGUCCAGAGAGUUUCAGUCACAACCGUCUCUCAGAGUGAGUCCUGACAAAGUUCAACACUUCAGGUCAGACCAUGUGUCACUGACCUGUGAGGGAAACUCUGCACAGUGGACAGUGGUGAGGUUUCGUCAAGACGGUUUUAACAGUGAACGAUGCUCCAAGUUCGGGGAAUUGACUGGAUCAACAUGCAUCACUAAGUUAAAUCACAAAGAUGCAGUGUACUGGUGUGAGUCCAAGUCAGGACAAUUCAGCAGCGCUAUCAACAUCAGUGUAUCAGUCAAAGAUAUUCUACUUGAGAGUCCGCCACAUCCUGUGGCCAAAGGAGCAGCUGUUACUCUUCGCUGCAAGCUGAAGACGGGGAACUUUGUUGCUGAUGUUUUCUUCUAUAAAAACAACAAAGUCGUCCAGAAUGACACGAGAUGGACGCUGACGAUCCCUGCGAUGUCAGAGUCACAUGAAGGCUUUUACAGAUGUGAGAGAAAAUAUUUUCUGUGGCUUCUGUUUUUUACUCAGACUUCACCACAGAGUUGGAUUUCAGUAAAAUCUUUGUCCAAACCAGAAAGCUCUCCAGGUCAUUUGCCUCUGAUUGUUGGAUUGGUUUGUGGAGUUUUAGUAAUAAUUCCUCUGCUGCUGUUUUUUUGCUACGGAACAUCUAAAGACCCAAAUGGUAACAGUCAGACAUUUGCCACCGACCAAACUGUCAAUCAAGGGGAAAAUCAACAGCAGGUGUACUCGACUCUUCUUCACGGUCAGGCUUCCUAGGUUUUCACAGCCAUUUUCUUCAACUUGUCCUCCAACUGAAACGUAAUUAUGGGUUGUUUUGGCCUGAAUACGACACUCGCACCAAACGAGCUCCUUGCGCGUCGUUCCAUAAUCUGGGUUGCGCAGUAUACCAGGGCCUUAAUGUGGGAUUUGAAUCUGUGUCAAUCACAUGAAAGUUCAAUGAUUUAACCACUAAGCUGUGACCACUAAGCUGUGACUACUGCCAUUGGAAACCUCAACGAAGCUACUCGACGUCAACACAUCCAAGGUGACGUUUGUAUCUAUGAAACAGUUGGAGGCGCUGGAAACACUGGGACUGGACGCCAUCAUGAUGGAGGGGAGGAGCUUGACUGCAACUAUGUAAAUCUAAAUUUAGGUGCAGGUACAAGUAUUCGCAAUUAUAGGCAAAUUAGCAAUGAGCAAAUAUUAUGCUCGGUUAAGUAACCGUAUAAAUGUGUACAUUAGCUUCCCAGGAAAGAGGCAAAAUUGUCCAGAUGGUGGCGCUGUAAUUUAAGAUUAAAAAUGAAACACUGCAACUCAGAUUGAUUUAAAAAUGUGACCCACAAGUCCAGCUCAUAAAAAGCUUCUUGGACCAUAAAAGACCCCCAUGAACAUUUAUUUAUGUCAGCUGGGAUUGGCUUGGUACACGCCGAGACGAACAGCCGUUCACUCUAAUAUUCAGAGUGUCAAAUUAACCACUGCAUGGAAUGAAACUUUGAAUAUAUUGAAUGAAACCUUGAAUAUAUGGAAUGAAACUCU
Solea senegalensis (Senegalese sole) is the source of this 2304-nucleotide RNA transcript. It is a transcript of the gene named low affinity immunoglobulin gamma Fc region receptor II-like, with no coding region annotated. The record is from RefSeq and is a predicted model, not a curated record. The transcript is spliced from 10 exons. Lineage: Eukaryota; Metazoa; Chordata; Actinopteri; Pleuronectiformes; Soleidae.